UGUGUAGGCGGAGAGACAAGUCAGGUGUGAAAAUCAUGGGCUCAACCCAUGACCUGCGCCUGAAACUGUAUCCCUUGAGAGUCGGAGGGGUAGAUAGAAUUCCAGGUGUAGCGGUGAAAUGCGUAGAGAUCUGGAGGAAUACCGAUUGCGUAGGCAGCCCCCUGGACAGUGACUGACGCUCAUAUGCGAAAGCGUGGGGAUCAAACAGGAUUAGAUACCCCUGUA
Molecule: ribosomal RNA, 225 nt
Filed under: uncultured Thorsellia sp.
Lineage: Bacteria; Pseudomonadati; Pseudomonadota; Gammaproteobacteria; Enterobacterales; Thorselliaceae
Description: partial 16S ribosomal RNA
Rfam family: Bacterial small subunit ribosomal RNA
Source: RNAcentral